UAUACGGGAAGGAAAGGAUUGACUCUUU
RNAcentral lists this non-coding RNA (28 nucleotides) under Rattus norvegicus (Norway rat). The record is from RNAcentral. Lineage: Eukaryota; Metazoa; Chordata; Mammalia; Rodentia; Muridae.